AACGAACGCUGGCGGCAUGCCUAACACAUGCAAGUCGAACGAGACCUUCGGGUUUAGUGGCGCACGGGUGCGUAACGCGUGGGAACCUGCCCUUAGGUUCGGAAUAACUCCCCGAAAGGGGUGCUAAUACCGGAUAAUGUCUUCGGACCAAAGAUUUAUCGCCUUUGGAUGGGCCCGCGUUGGAUUAGCUAGUUGGUAGGGUAAAAGCCUACCAAGGCGACGAUCCAUAGCUGGUCUGAGAGGAUGAUCAGCCACACUGGGACUGAGACACGGCCCAGACUCCUACGGGAGGCAGCAGUGGGGAAUAUUGGACAAUGGGCGAAAGCCUGAUCCAGCAAUGCCGCGUGAGUGAUGAAGGCCUUAGGGUUGUAAAGCUCUUUUACCCGGGAUGAUAAUGACAGUACCGGGAGAAUAAGCUCCGGCUAACUCCGUG
This 433-nucleotide ribosomal RNA is filed under the name uncultured bacterium. RNAcentral's name for it is "partial 16S ribosomal RNA". It matches the Rfam family "Bacterial small subunit ribosomal RNA", at positions 29 to 507 of the family's 1533-position model. The record is from RNAcentral.